GAGUUUGAUCCUGGCUCAGGAUGAACGCUAGCUACAGGCUUAACACAUGCAAGUCGAGGGGCAGCAUGACCUAGCAAUAGGUUGAUGGCGACCGGCGCACGGGUGAGUAACACGUAUCCAACCUGCCGAUUAUUCCGGGAUAGCCUUUCGAAAGAAAGAUUAAUACUGGAUAGCAUAACGAGAAGGCAUCUUCUUGUUAUUAAAGAAUUUCGAUAAUCGAUGGGGAUGCGUUCCAUUAGUUUGUUGGCGGGGUAACGGCCCACCAAGACAUCGAUGGAUAGGGGUUCUGAGAGGAAGGUCCCCCACAUUGGAACUGAGACACGGUCCAAACUCCUACGGGAGGCAGCAGUGAGGAAUAUUGGUCAAUGGACGAGAGUCUGAACCAGCCAAGUAGCGUGAAGGAUGACUGCCCUAUGGGUUGUAAACUUCUUUUAUAUGGGAAUAAAGUGAGCCACGUGUGGCUUUUUGUAUGUACCAUACGAAUAAGGAUCGGCUAACUCCGUGCCAGCCGCCGCGGUAAUAC
RNAcentral lists this ribosomal RNA (523 nucleotides) under uncultured bacterium. RNAcentral's name for it is "bacterial SSU rRNA". It matches the Rfam family "Bacterial small subunit ribosomal RNA", at positions 9 to 526 of the family's 1533-position model. The record is from RNAcentral.